CAGCCUCCGGCGCCUCUGCUUCCCCCGGCAGCCGCUCGGCGUGCGCUGACUGCUGCUGCGCUCUUUCUCCUCCUCCUUUUCGUCCUCGUCCUCCACCUCCUCCUCCAGCUCCUGGCUCAGCCUCAGCCUCAGCAGCGCCAAGCUAAUCCCCGACCAUAUAGGGAGCUGGGCUAACACUCCACUGCACUGCAGAGCGCCAACGCCAACCAAGCAGUCCGCCCACCCCUCUCGCCUCUCGCCCCAGCCAAGUGCGCUGCGGCCGCCCGCUCCGUGGAGAGCGCAACGCUGGGCGCGUCGAGCUGGCGGGGGCGGUGCGGGGGCCCUGGGCUGGCGCGGUGGAGCCUCCCCCGCACCGCUGGGUACCGCACCGCACACUCAGCGGAGGCGCGCGCCCCGCGGCGACCGGAGGAUGUCCCCUAAACUGCUCCAAUUCACAAACAAAGGCCAGUUGCUUAGCUCCAGCGCGCCCAGACUGGGUGUUCCAAGGCAAGAAGUUAUUUUCACCAGGGAAGCCUGUGAACAGAAAGAGCUCCUGAGACUACACCUGCUUUUAAUUUGGUGUCAGUAGGAACGAUGGAGAUGAAAACCUCAUCAAGACCAGCACGGAUUUGGGAAUCACCAAUAGAGUCAACCCCUCACUCUAAGAUGAGGAAACUAAGGCCCCCUAAGGUGAACUGUGAACUGAAUUGAUGAAAGCUGGGAUCAAAGCCCAGAUCUCUGGGCUCCUUGUCUGGUAUUUAUCUUCCCUGCUUUCUUCAUAAUUAAAUUCAGUGUAAUGACGCAGACGUAGAGCAAGAUCCUGGAGUGUCUUCUUAAUCAUCAAAUAUUGUCCUCUAUAAAGUUAUAAUGUUUAGUGAAUUUGCUGUAGUCUCAUUCUUUUAAAAAUGGCUAACACAUGUGUGAGAAUUCGCUAGUGACCACCUAGAGUGCUUGUUCCCUAAGGGAUUAUUGACUAUUCUUUAAAACUAUAACAACAGACAACAACAACAACAAAAAGGAAAAUAAAAUUAAGGUUGAGCUUAAUCACUUCACUCACUUAAGUACUUAUUACACGUAAAAGCAGUGUGUUGAGGAGGUUUUGGGAUUGGUGAAUCUCAUGUUGAGGUGGUUUUAGGAUAGCCCUUUACAAACAUAAAAUAUUAAAUUACUAAAUUGCAUGACUGUACUAGUCCAUUUUCACGCUGCUGAUAAAGACAUACCUGAGACUGGUCAAUUUACAAAAAAAAGGAAAAAAAAGGUUUAAUGGACUUACAGUUCCAGGUGGCUGGGGAGGCCUCACAAUCAUAACAGAAGGCAAGGAGAAGCAAGUCACGUCUUACAUGGAUGGCAGCAGGCAAAGAGAGAGAGUUGUGCAGGGAAAUUCUCGUUUUUAAAACCAUCAGAUCUCGUGAGAUUCAUUCACUAUCAUGAGAACAGCACAGGAAAGACCUGCCCCCACAAUUCAAUCCCCUCCCACCAGGUUCCUCCCAUGACACGUGGGGAUUGUGGGAGUUGCAAUUCAAGAUGAGAUUUAGGUGAGGACACAGCCAAACCAUUUCAAUGACUUACACAUUACUUCACAUUUUUCAUAUCCUUCCACUUCUUAGUUUCUACCACAA
Molecule: long non-coding RNA, 1598 nt
Filed under: Homo sapiens (human)
Lineage: Eukaryota; Metazoa; Chordata; Mammalia; Primates; Hominidae
Description: HSALNT0218277
Source: RNAcentral